This 1003-nucleotide long non-coding RNA is filed under the name Marmota monax (woodchuck). Lineage: Eukaryota; Metazoa; Chordata; Mammalia; Rodentia; Sciuridae. The record is from RNAcentral.
UCCUCUGAAUUCUGUCCCAGACCUUAUAAACUACUAAUCCUCUUUAAACAGAACAAAAACAUACCUGAGAAUGAAAACUCUGGGUUACUGACAUAUCUGCUGCCUACAGAUAUUUAGGUAGCAGCUAAAACUUGGACUUAUUUUUGAAAUUCAUCUUAUGUUGAUAGUGGCCCAUCUAUUGCCUGAGAUUUCUAAUACUUCACAGAGAAAAAAGAUGAAAAAGUACCUGGUGUAUCAGCCAACAAGCUGAGGUGUUGUUUCUUAAUCUGGGGCUAUUCCAAGAUAGUAUAAGAAAUAAUAACACCUUCAUUAAUCAGGAUGUUCAGGUAAUGGGGUCCUUGUUAUUUUUUUUUUCCUAAAAUUUUGCUAACUCUGUCUUAGUAACAUUAAAAGACAGUUUUUAGAAAAAGGUAGAAAGUCAUGACUCUUGUACAUAUAUAAAAAUGAAAAUGUGUUAAAGAUUUUAUUUUAAUCAUUAAUCAACAAGGGAACCAGACAGAUGUUAUAGCCAGUUCAAAGAAAAAGUCAAAAAGCACAAAUUUAUCUGGAGUAAAGGAAUGGAAUUGCAAAUAGAGGCAAAACUUGUUUUUCCACAGUGGAGAAGGAAGUCAAUCCAAAUGCUAUAGGACAAGAUAGAGUUUGCAUAUCCAUCAGUUACCUACAAUUUAUAGAGGUGCAAAAUAGCUCAAAGAUGAUGAACAGAGGCAGAAAUCAGGCAGCUUCAAAAAUGGUGUGCUAUAGGUAACUAAUAGCUUUUUUUUUUUAAUAGUAAGCAAGUGGGGCUGGGGUUGUGGUUUUGAGGUAGAGUGCUUACCUAGCAUACGUGAGGCACUGGGUUCAAUCCUCAGCACCUCAUAAAAAUAAAAUAAGAUAUUGUGUUCACCUAUAACUAAAAAAUAAAUAUUUAAAUAAAUAAAUAUAUAGUAAGCAGCAUGGUGGGUGCUUUAUUUUCCUAGUUGAUUUUGUGUCUUAUUAUUUCUCAGUGUAUCACCUCAAAUCUCAU